AGUAACGGCGAGUGAAGCGGUAACAGCUCAAAUUUGAAAUCUGGCUCCCUGCGGAGUCCGAGUUGUAAUUUGUAGAAGAUGCUUUGGGUGCACGAUCCGGCCUAAGUGCCUUGGAACAGGACGUCGUAGAGGGUGAGAAUCCCGUAUGCGGCCGGUUUCGACGCCCGUGUAAAGCUCUUUCGACGAGUCGAGUUGUUUGGGAAUGCAGCUCAAAAUGGGUGGUAAAUUUCAUCUAAAGCUAAAUAUGGGCCAGAGACCGAUAGCGCACAAGUAGAGUGAUCGAAAGAUGAAAAGCACUUUGGAAAGAGAGUUAAACAGUACGUGAAAUUGUUGAAAGGGAAGCGCUUGCAACCAGACUUGGGCGUCGCUGAUCAUCCAAAGUUCUCUUUGGUGCACUCGACGACGCACAGGCCAGCAUCGGUUGGGGUGGUGGGAGAAAGACUGCAGGAACGUAGCUCUUUUCGGAGAGUGUUAUAGCCUGCGGUGCAAUACCGCCUACCUCGACCGAGGACCGCGCUUCGGCUAGGAUGCUGGCGUAAUGGUUGUAAGCGACCCGUCUUGAAACACGGACCAAGGAGUCUAACAUCUAUGCGAGUGUUUGGGUGCGAAACCCAUGCGCGAAAUGAAAGUGAACGUAGGUGAGAACCCUUUAAGGGGGCAUCAUCGACCGAUCCUG
RNAcentral lists this ribosomal RNA (676 nucleotides) under Phyllactinia magnoliae. RNAcentral's name for it is "eukaryotic LSU rRNA". It matches the Rfam family "Eukaryotic large subunit ribosomal RNA", at positions 82 to 773 of the family's 3401-position model. The record is from RNAcentral. Lineage: Eukaryota; Fungi; Ascomycota; Leotiomycetes; Helotiales; Erysiphaceae.